CGGGUGCACUGAUCCAGCCGGGCCUUUCCCUCUGUGGAACCCCAUGGCCUUCACUGGCUGUGGUGGGGAAACAGGACUUUUACUUUGAAAAAAUUAGAGUGCUCCAGGCAGGCCUAUGCUCGAAUACAUUAGCAUGGAAUAAUAGAAUAGGACGUGUGGUUCUAUUUUGUUGGUUUCUAGGACCGCCGUAAUGAUUAAUAGGGACAGUCGGGGGCAUCAGUAUUCAAUUGUCAGAGGUGAAAUUCUUGGAUCUAUUGAAGACUAACUACUGCGAAAGCAUUUGCCAAGGAUGUUUUCAUUGAUAAGGAACGAAAGUUAGGGGAUCGAAGACGAUCAGAUACCGUCGUAGUCUUAACUAUAAACUAUGCCGACUAGGGAUCGGACGAUGUUAUUCUUUGACGCGUUCGGCACCUUUCGAGAAAUCAAAGUGCUUGGGCUCCAGGGGGAGUAUGGUCGCAAGGCUGAAACUUAAAGAAAUUGACGGAAGGGCACCACCAGGGGUGGAACCUGCGGCUUAAUUUGACUCAACACGGGGAAACUCACCAGGUCCAGACACAGUGAGGAUUGACAGAUUGAGAGCUCUUUCUUGAUUCUGUGGGUGGUGGUGCAUGGCCGUUCUUAGUUGGUGGAGUGAUUUGUCUGCUUAAUUGCGAUAACGAACGAGACCUUAACCUGCUAAAUAGCCCGUACUGCUUUGGCAGUUCGCCGGCUUCUUAGAGAGACUAUCGG
RNAcentral lists this ribosomal RNA (729 nucleotides) under uncultured eukaryote. RNAcentral describes it as "SSU rRNA". It matches the Rfam family "Eukaryotic small subunit ribosomal RNA", at positions 670 to 1426 of the family's 1831-position model. The record is from RNAcentral.